GUCACACUAUCAUUAACUGAAUCCAUAGGUUAAUGAGGCGAACCGGGGGAACUGAAACAUCUAAGUACCCCGAGGAAAAGAAAUCAACCGAGAUUCCCCCAGUAGCGGCGAGCGAACGGGGAGGAGCCCAGAGCCUGAAUCAGUGUGUGUGUUAGUGGAAGCGUCUGGAAAGGCGCGCGAUACAGGGUGACAGCCCCGUACACAAAAAUGCACAUACUGUGAGCUCGAUGAGUAGGGCGGGACACGUGGUAUCCUGUCUGAAUAUGGGGGGACCAUCCUCCAAGGCUAAAUACUCCUGACUGACCGAUAGUGAACCAGUACCGUGAGGGAAAGGCGAAAAGAACCCCGGCGAGGGGAGUGAAAAAGAACCUGAAACCGUGUACGUACAAGCAGUGGGAGCCUCUUAAUGGGGUGACUGCGUACCUUUUGUAUAAUGGGUCAGCGACUUAUAUUCUGUAGCAAGGUUAACCGAAUAGGGGAGCCGAAGGGAAACCGAGUCUUAACUGGGCGUUAAGUUGCAGGGUAUAGACCCGAAACCCGGUGAUCUAGCCAUGGGCAGGUUGAAGGUUGGGUAACACUAACUGGAGGACCGAACCGACUAAUGUUGAAAAAUUAGCGGAUGACUUGUGGCUGGGGGUGAAAGGCCAAUCAAACCGGGAGAUAGCUGGUUCUCCCCGAAAGCUAUUUAGGUAGCGCCUCGUGAAUUCAUCUCCGGGGGUAGAGCACUGUUUCGGCAAGGGGGUCAUCCCGACUUACCAACCCGAUGCAAACUGCGAAUACCGGAGAAUGUUAUCACGGGAGACACACGGCGGGUGCUAACGUCCGUCGUGAAGAGGGAAACAACCCAGACCGCCAGCUAAGGUCCCAAAGUCAUGGUUAAGUGGGAAACGAUGUGGGAAGGCCCAGACAGCCAGGAUGUUGGCUUAGAAGCAGCCAUCAUUUAAAGAAAGCGUAAUAGCUCACUGGUCGAGUCGGCCUGCGCGGAAGAUGUAACGGGGCUAAACCAUGCACCGAAGCUGCGGCAGCGACACUAUGUGUUGUUGGGUAGGGGAGCGUUCUGUAAGCCUGUGAAGGUGUACUGUGAGGUAUGCUGGAGGUAUCAGAAGUGCGAAUGCUGACAUAAGUAACGAUAAAGCGGGUGAAAAGCCCGCUCGCCGGAAGACCAAGGGUUCCUGUCCAACGUUAAUCGGGGCAGGGUGAGUCGACCCCUAAGGCGAGGCCGAAAGGCGUAGUCGAUGGGAAACAGGUUAAUAUUCCUGUACUUGGUGUUACUGCGAAGGGGGGACGGAGAAGGCUAUGUUGGCCGGGCGACGGUUGUCCCGGUUUAAGCGUGUAGGCUGGUUUUCCAGGCAAAUCCGGAAAACUAAGGCUGAGGCGUGAUGACGAGGCACUACGGUGCUGAAGCAACAAAUGCCCUGCUUCCAGGAAAAGCCUCUAAGCAUCAGGUAACAUUAAAUCGUACCCCAAACCGACACAGGUGGUCAGGUAGAGAAUACCAAGGCGCUUGAGAGAACUCGGGUGAAGGAACUAGGCAAAAUGGUGCCGUAACUUCGGGAGAAGGCACGCUGAUAUGUAGGUGAAGUCCCUCGCGGAUGGAGCUGAAAUCAGUCGAAGAUACCAGCUGGCUGCAACUGUUUAUUAAAAACACAGCACUGUGCAAACACGAAAGUGGACGUAUACGGUGUGACGCCUGCCCGGUGCCGGAAGGUUAAUUGAUGGGGUUAGCGGUAACGCGAAGCUCUUGAUCGAAGCCCCGGUAAACGGCGGCCGUAACUAUAACGGUCCUAAGGUAGCGAAAUUCCUUGUCGGGUAAGUUCCGACCUGCACGAAUGGCGUAAUGAUGGCCAGGCUGUCUCCACCCGAGACUCAGUGAAAUUGAACUCGCUGUGAAGAUGCAGUGUACCCGCGGCAAGACGGAAAGACCCCGUGAACCUUUACUAUAGCUUGACACUGAACAUUGAGCCUUGAUGUGUAGGAUAGGUGGGAGGCUUUGAAGUGUGGACGCCAGUCUGCAUGGAGCCGGCCUUGAAAUACCACCCUUUAAUGUUUGAUGUUCUAACGUUGGCCCCUGAUCGGGGUUGCGGACAGUGUCUGGUGGGUAGUUUGACUGGGGCGGUCUCCUCCUAAAGAGUAACGGAGGAGCACGAAGGUUGGCUAAUCCUGGUCGGACAUCAGGAGGUUAGUGCAAUGGCAUAAGCCAGCUUGACUGCGAGCGUGACGGCGCGAGCAGGUGCGAAAGCAGGUCAUAGUGAUCCGGUGGUUCUGAAUGGAAGGGCCAUCGCUCAACGGAUAAAAGGUACUCCGGGGAUAACAGGCUGAUACCGCCCAAGAGUUCAUAUCGACGGCGGUGUUUGGCACCUCGAUGUCGGCUCAUCACAUCCUGGGGCUGAAGUAGGUCCCAAGGGUAUGGCUGUUCGCCAUUUAAAGUGGUACGCGAGCUGGGUUUAGAACGUCGUGAGACAGUUCGGUCCCUAUCUGCCGUGGGCGCUGGAGAACUGAGGGGGGCUGCUCCUAGUACGAGAGGACCGGAGUGGACGCAUCACUGGUGUUCGGGUUGUCAUGCCAAUGGCACUGCCCGGUAGCUAAAUGCGGAAGAGAUAAGUGCUGAAAGCAUCUAAGCACGAAACUUGCCCCGAGAUG
Molecule: ribosomal RNA, 2640 nt
Filed under: Escherichia coli
Lineage: Bacteria; Pseudomonadati; Pseudomonadota; Gammaproteobacteria; Enterobacterales; Enterobacteriaceae
Description: partial 23S ribosomal RNA
Rfam family: Bacterial large subunit ribosomal RNA
Source: RNAcentral